This 441-nucleotide ribosomal RNA is filed under the name uncultured soil bacterium. Its description in RNAcentral is "bacterial SSU rRNA". It matches the Rfam family "Bacterial small subunit ribosomal RNA", at positions 908 to 1349 of the family's 1533-position model. The record is from RNAcentral.
AAUUGACGGGGGCCCGCACAAGCGGUGGAGCAUGUGGUUCAAUUCGACGCAACGCGAAGAACCUUACCUGGGCUAGACAACGGCGGACCGUCCUAGAAAUAGGAUCUUCCCUUCGGGGACUGCCGGUUCAGGUGCUGCAUGGCUGUCGUCAGCUCGUGCCGUGAGGUGUUGGGUUAAGUCCCGCAACGAGCGCAACCCUCGUCCUUAGUUGCCACCAUUCAGUUGGGCACUCUAGGGAGACUGCCGGCGUUAAGCCGGAGGAAGGUGGGGACGACGUCAAGUCAUCAUGGCCCUUAUGUCCAGGGCCACACACGUGCUACAAUGGGCGGUACAAAGGGUCGCAAACCCGCGAGGGGGAGCCAAUCCCAAAAAGCCGUUCUCAGUUCGGAUUGGAGUCUGCAACUCGACUCCAUGAAGUUGGAAUCGCUAGUAAUCGCGGAU